Molecule: non-coding RNA, 72 nt
Organism: Podarcis lilfordi (Lilford's wall lizard)
Lineage: Eukaryota; Metazoa; Chordata; Lepidosauria; Squamata; Lacertidae
Source: the annotation of a GenBank genome assembly
GCCUUGUAGCUCAGCUGAUAGAGCAUGAGACUCUUAAUCUAUGGGUCACGGGUUCGAGCCCCACAUUGGGCA